AUGAACGCUGGCGGCGUGCCUCAUACAUGCAAGUCGCGCGAACAGAUAAGGAGCUUGCUCCUUUGACGUUAGCGGCGGACGGGUGAGUAACACGUGGGUAACCUACCUAUAAGACUGGGAUAACUUCGGGAAACCGGAGCUAAUACCGGAUAACAUUUGGAACCGCAUGGUUCUAAAGUGAAAGAUGGUUUUGCUAUCACUUAUAGAUGGACCCGCGCCGUAUUAGCUAGUUGGUAAGGUAACGGCUUACCAAGGCAACGAUACGUAGCCGACCUGAGAGGGUGAUCGGCCACACUGGAACUGAGACACGGUCCAGACUCCUACGGGAGGCAGCAGUAGGGAAUCUUCCGCAAUGGGCGAAAGCCUGACGGAGCAACGCCGCGUGAGUGAUGAAGGGUUUCGGCUCGUAAAACUCUGUUAUUAGGGAAGAACAAACGUGUAAGUAACUGUGCACGUCUUGACGGUACCUAAUCAGAAAGCCACGGCUAACUACGUG
Molecule: ribosomal RNA, 496 nt
Filed under: uncultured bacterium
Lineage: Bacteria
Description: partial 16S ribosomal RNA
Rfam family: Bacterial small subunit ribosomal RNA
Source: RNAcentral